AGCGAACGCUGGCGGCAGGCCUAACACAUGCAAGUCGAACGAACCUUUCGGGGUUAGUGGCGGACGGGUGAGUAACACGUGGGAACGUGCCUUUAGGUUCGGAAUAACUCAGGGAAACUUGUGCUAAUACCGAAUGUGCCCUUCGGGGGAAAGAUUUAUCGCCUUUAGAGCGGCCCGCGUCUGAUUAGCUAGUUGGUUGAGGUAAUGGCUCACCAAGGCGACGAUCAGUAGCUGGUCUGAGAGGAUGAUCAGCCACAUUGGGACUGAGACACGGCCCAAACUCCUACGGGAGGCAGCAGUGGGGAAUCUUGCGCAAUGGGCGAAAGCCUGACGCAGCCAUGCCGCCUGAAUGAUGAAGGUCUUAGGAUUGUAAAAUUCUUUCACCGGGGACGAUAAUGACGGUACCCGGAGAAGAAGCCCCGGCUAACUUCGUG
Molecule: ribosomal RNA, 434 nt
Filed under: uncultured bacterium
Lineage: Bacteria
Description: partial 16S ribosomal RNA
Rfam family: Bacterial small subunit ribosomal RNA
Source: RNAcentral